GAUGAACGCUGGCGGCGUGCUUAACACAUGCAAGUCGAACGGUGAAAGAGUGCUUGCUCUCUGGGUCAGUGGCGAACGGGUGAGUAACACGUGAGCAAUCUCCCCCUGACUCUGGGAUAUGCGUUGGAAACGGCGUCUAAUAUCGGAUACGAGAUCUGAAGCCAUCUUCUGGAGCUGGGAAGGACUGCGGGUGGGGAUGGGCUCGCGGCUUAUCAGCUUGUUGGUGGGGGAACGUAUUAUCAAGGGGUCGAAGGGUAUCCGGCCUGAGAGGGGGACCGGCCAAAUUGGGACGGAGAAACGGCCCAGACUCCCACGGGAGGGAGCAGGGGGGAAUAUUGCACAAUGGGCGGAAGCCUGAUGCAGCAACGCCGCGGGGGGGAUGACGGCCUUCGGGUUUUAAACCGCUUUUGCCUGUGACGAAGCGGGAGGGACGGUAAUGGGUAAAGAAGCACCGGCUAACUACGGG
Molecule: ribosomal RNA, 466 nt
Filed under: uncultured bacterium
Lineage: Bacteria
Description: partial 16S ribosomal RNA
Rfam family: Bacterial small subunit ribosomal RNA
Source: RNAcentral